GAUGAAGAACGCAGCGAAAUGCGAUAAGUAAUGUGAAUUGCAGAACUCAGUGAAUCAUCGAGUCUUUGAACGCACAUUGCGCCCCCUGGUAUUCCGGGGGGCAUGCCUGUCCGAGCGUCAUUGCUGCCCUCAAGCACGGCUUGUGUGUUGGGCCUCCGUCCUCCUCCCGGGGGACGGGCCCGAAAGGCAGCGGCGGCACCGCGUCCGGUCCUCGAGCGUAUGGGGCUUCGUCACCCGCUCUUGUAGGCCCGGCCGGCGCUUGCCGACACAUCAAUCUUUUUUCCAGGUUGACCUCGGAUCAGGUAGGGAUACCCGCUGAACUUAAGCAUAUCAAUAAGCGAGGA
This 344-nucleotide unclassified non-coding RNA is filed under the name soil metagenome. RNAcentral's name for it is "partial contains 5.8S ribosomal RNA, internal transcribed spacer 2, and large subunit ribosomal RNA". The stretch from base 1 to 120 matches the Rfam family "5.8S ribosomal RNA", at positions 35 to 154 of the family's 154-position model. The record is from RNAcentral.